This 338-nucleotide long non-coding RNA is filed under the name Mytilus galloprovincialis (Mediterranean mussel). The record is from RNAcentral. Lineage: Eukaryota; Metazoa; Mollusca; Bivalvia; Mytilida; Mytilidae.
AAAAAAAGUAAUAAAGAUAUAAAGGACCCCCAUCCAGAACCUCACAUUUAUUUUUAUUCAAUUAGUUUGUUAAAUUCUUUUUUUUUAAGUGGUAGUAGUUUGAUAAAGUUGUAAUAAUUAGUGAGAGUGUUUGUGGUUUGAGUUGGGCGAGUUGUAUAGAAAAGAGAAAUUGAGAAGGAAGUUGAUUCCCAAGAAUUACAAUUAGAGGGACACAAUUUAGUGUUGUUUGUCAUGAUUUUAACAUGAUAAAAUGCUUCUUAAUUUCCACUAAUUCUAAUGAGCUUCAUUGAACAAGACAGUAACUACCUCAAACAAUCUGACACUGACUAAGGGAAGAC